CCUACGGGAGGCAGCAGUGAGGAAUAUUGGUCAAUGGCCGUGAGGCUGAACCAGCCAAGUCGCGUGAGGGAUGAAUGUCCUAUGGAUUGUAAACCUCUUUUGUCAGGGAGUAAAGUCACCCACGUGUGGGUGUUGGAGAGUACCUGAUGAAUAAGCAUCGGCUAACUCCGUGCCAGCAGCCGCGGUAAUACGGAGGAUGCGAGCGUUAUCCGGUUUUAUUGGGUUUAAAGGGUGCGUAGGCGGCGUAUUAAGUCAGCGGUAAAAUCGUGGGGCUCAACUCCAUCUAGCCGUUGAAACUGGGGAUCUUGAGUGGGCGUGAGGCAUGCGGAAUGCGUGGUGUAGCGGUGAAAUGCAUAGAUAUCACGCAGAACUCCGAUUGCGAAGGCAGCAUGCCGACGCACGACUGACGCUGAAGCACGAAAGCGUGGGUAUCAAACAGGAUUAGAUACCCUUGUAGUC
Molecule: ribosomal RNA, 459 nt
Filed under: uncultured bacterium
Lineage: Bacteria
Description: partial 16S ribosomal RNA
Rfam family: Bacterial small subunit ribosomal RNA
Source: RNAcentral